UUUUGGAGAAUCCGACACGCACCC
Molecule: microRNA, 24 nt
Filed under: Solanum tuberosum (potato)
Lineage: Eukaryota; Viridiplantae; Streptophyta; Magnoliopsida; Solanales; Solanaceae
Description: stu-miR5303d
Source: miRBase by way of RNAcentral